RNAcentral lists this ribosomal RNA (437 nucleotides) under Enterobacteriaceae bacterium BTRH28. RNAcentral describes it as "bacterial SSU rRNA". It matches the Rfam family "Bacterial small subunit ribosomal RNA", at positions 46 to 474 of the family's 1533-position model. The record is from RNAcentral. Lineage: Bacteria; Pseudomonadati; Pseudomonadota; Gammaproteobacteria; Enterobacterales; Enterobacteriaceae.
GCCUAACACAUGCAAGUCGAACGGUAGCACAGAGAGCUUGCUCUCGGGUGACGAGUGGCGGACGGGUGAGUAAUGUCUGGGAAACUGCCUGAUGGAGGGGGAUAACUACUGGAAACGGUAGCUAAUACCGCAUAACGUCGCAAGACCAAAGAGGGGGACCUUCGGGCCUCUUGCCAUCAGAUGUGCCCAGAUGGGAUUAGCUAGUAGGUGGGGUAACGGCUCACCUAGGCGACGAUCCCUAGCUGGUCUGAGAGGAUGACCAGCCACACUGGAACUGAGACACGGUCCAGACUCCUACGGGAGGCAGCAGUGGGGAAUAUUGCACAAUGGGCGCAAGCCUGAUGCAGCCAUGCCGCGUGUAUGAAGAAGGCCUUCGGGUUGUAAAGUACUUUCAGCGGGGAGGAAGGUGUUGUGGUUAAUAACCGCAGCAAUUGACG